RNAcentral lists this ribosomal RNA (477 nucleotides) under uncultured bacterium. RNAcentral describes it as "bacterial SSU rRNA". It matches the Rfam family "Bacterial small subunit ribosomal RNA", at positions 28 to 474 of the family's 1533-position model. The record is from RNAcentral.
GACGAACGCNGGCGGCGUGCCUAAUACAUGCAAGUCGAACGAAACUUUCUUACACCGAAUGCUUGCAUUCACCGUAAGAAGUUGAGUGGCGGACGGGUGAGUAACACGUGGGUAACCUGCCUAAAAGAAGGGGAUAACACUUGGAAACAGGUGCUAAUACCGUAUAUCUCUAAGUAUCGCAUGAUCCUUAGAUGAAAGAUGGUUCUGCUAUCGCUUUUAGAUGGACCCGCGGCGUAUUAACUAGUUGGUGGGGUAACGGCCUACCAAGGUGAUGAUACGUAGCCGAACUGAGAGGUUGAUCGGCCACAUUGGGACUGAGACACGGCCCAAACUCCUACGGGAGGCAGCAGUAGGGAAUCUUCCACAAUGGACGCAAGUCUGAUGGAGCAACGCCGCGUGAGUGAAGAAGGUCUUCCGAUCGUAAAACUCUGUUGUUAGAGAAGAACACGAGUGAGAGUAACUGUUCAUUCGANGACG